RNAcentral lists this ribosomal RNA (492 nucleotides) under uncultured bacterium. RNAcentral describes it as "bacterial SSU rRNA". It matches the Rfam family "Bacterial small subunit ribosomal RNA", at positions 90 to 582 of the family's 1533-position model. The record is from RNAcentral.
GUCGAGUGGCGGACGGGUGAGUAAUACUUAGGAACAUGCCUUUGGGUGGGGGAUAACUAUUGGAAACGAUAGCUAAUACCGCAUAAUGUCUACGGACCAAAGGGGGCGCUUGCGCUCUCGCCCAAAGAGUGGCCUAAGCGAGAUUAGCUUGUUGGUGAGGUAAAGGCUCACCAAGGCAACGAUCUCUAGCUGUUCUGAGAGGAAGAUCAGCCACACUGGAACUGAGACACGGUCCAGACUCCUACGGGAGGCAGCAGUGGGGAAUAUUGCACAAUGGGGGCAACCCUGAUGCAGCCAUGCCGCGUGUGUGAAGAAGGCCUUCGGGUUGUAAAGCACUUUCAGUUGUGAGGAAAGAUUAGUAGUUAAUACCUGCUAGUUGUGACGUUAGCAACAGAAGAAGCACCGGCUAACUCCGUGCCAGCAGCCGCGGUAAUACGGAGGGUGCGAGCGUUAAUCGGAAUUACUGGGCGUAAAGCGCACGCAGGCGGUUUG